AAACCAACAGGGAUUGCCCUAGUAACGGCGAGUGAAGCGGCAACAGCUCAAAUUUGAAAGCUAGCCUUCGGGUUCGCAUUGUAAUUUGUAGAGGAUGAUUUGGGGAAGCCGCCUGUCUAAGUUCCUUGGAACAGGACGUCAUAGAGGGUGAGAAUCCCGUAUGUGACAGGAAAUGGCACCCUAUGUAAAUCUCCUUCGACGAGUCGAGUUGUUUGGGAAUGCAGCUCUAAAUGGGAGGUAAAUUUCUUCUAAAGCUAAAUAUUGGCGAGAGACCGAUAGCGCACAAGUAGAGUGAUCGAAAGAUGAAAAGCACUUUGGAAAGAGAGUUAAAAAGCACGUGAAAUUGUUGAAAGGGAAGCGCUUGCAAUCAGACUUGUUUAAACUGUUCGGCCGGUCUUCUGACCGGUUUACUCAGUUUGGACAGGCCAGCAUCAGUUUCGGCGGCCGGAUAAAGGCUCUGGGAAUGUGGCCUCCACUUCGGUGGAGGUGUUAUAGCCCGGGGUGUAAUACGGCCAGCCGGGACUGAGGUCCGCGCUUCGGCUAGGAUGCUGGCGUAA
Molecule: ribosomal RNA, 557 nt
Filed under: Aureobasidium pullulans
Lineage: Eukaryota; Fungi; Ascomycota; Dothideomycetes; Dothideales; Saccotheciaceae
Description: eukaryotic LSU rRNA
Rfam family: Eukaryotic large subunit ribosomal RNA
Source: RNAcentral